AAAUUGAAGAGUUUGAUCAUGGCUCAGAUUGAACGCUGGCGGCAGGCCUAACACAUGCAAGUCGAACGGUAACAGGAAGCAGCUUGCUGCUUCGCUGACGAGUGGCGGACGGGUGAGUAAUGUCUGGGAAACUGCCUGAUGGAGGGGGAUAACUACUGGAAACGGUAGCUAAUACCGCAUAAUGUCGCAAGACCAAAGAGGGGGACCUUCGGGCCUCUUGCCAUCGGAUGUGCCCAGAUGGGAUUAGCUUGUUGGUGGGGUAACGGCUCACCAAGGCGACGAUCCCUAGCUGGUCUGAGAGGAUGACCAGCCACACUGGAACUGAGACACGGUCCAGACUCCUACGG
Molecule: ribosomal RNA, 347 nt
Filed under: Escherichia coli
Lineage: Bacteria; Pseudomonadati; Pseudomonadota; Gammaproteobacteria; Enterobacterales; Enterobacteriaceae
Also listed under: 1 other name
Description: bacterial SSU rRNA
Rfam family: Bacterial small subunit ribosomal RNA
Source: RNAcentral